This is a long non-coding RNA of Oncorhynchus keta (chum salmon), 2935 nucleotides long. RefSeq lists it as uncharacterized. The transcript is spliced from 3 exons. The record is from RefSeq and is a predicted model, not a curated record. Lineage: Eukaryota; Metazoa; Chordata; Actinopteri; Salmoniformes; Salmonidae.
AGAAAAUAAUAAACGUUUAUUUAGGAUGGAGAAUAACAAUCAAAAUGGUUCAAAUGGCCUUAAAAUGUUAUUUCUGGUCCACCAGCCACUAAAAUGUCUUACCAACUAAACUAUUAAUAUUAAAUGACACCAACAAAACACAAAAAAACAGAUGUGCUUUGUAAUGUUUCAAAAACAUGUGUUGCUAGUAAAAAGUAAAGUGGUAUUUAGUCCAAUCACUUUUUUGUGGCCCCGUUAAAUCAGCCAGUGAAAGUGCAGGGCGCCAAAUUCUAACAGAAAUCGCAUAAUUCAAAUUCAGCAAACAUACAAGUAUCUUAUACAAUUUUAAAAGAUAAUCUUGUUGUUAAUCCCACCACAGAGUACGAUUUCAAAAAGGCUUUACAGCGAAAGCACACCAAACGAUUAUGUUAGGUCACCGCCAAGUCACAGAAAAAAACAGCCAUAAAGCAGAAAUAGAGAUAAAAUGAAUCACUAACCUUUGAUGAUCUUCAUCAGAUGACACUUAUAGGACUUCAUGUUACACAAUACAUGUGUGUUUUGUUCGAUAAAGUGGAUAUUAAUAUCCAGAAAUCUCAUUUUACAUUGGCGUGUUAUGUUCAGUAGUUCCAAAACAUGCAGUGAUUUUGCAGAGUCAAUUUACACAAAUACUCAUAAUAAACAUUGAUAAAAGAUACAACUGUUAUACAUGGAACUUUAGAUAAACUUAUCUUAUUAUGCAACCAGUGUCUCAGAUUUUUUUUUUUACUUCACGGAAAAAUACCAUGCAAUAAUCUGAGUACAGCACUCAGAGACCAAAACAGAUAUCCGCCAUGUUGUGGAGUCAACAUUAGUCAGAAAUAGCGUUAUAAAUAUGAACUUACCUUUGAUGAUCUUCAUCAGAAUGCACUCCCAGGAAUCCCAGUUCCACAAUAAAUGUUUGAUUUGUUCAAUAAAGUUAAUAAUUUAUGUCCAAAUACCUCCUUGUUAGCGCGUUCAGCCCUGUAGUCCAUAUUAAUAAUGCCCGAGCAGACACGCGUUUACUAGGAGCUAACUAUCACGUGACCACGCAUGGUCAGCUGCUCCUACCUCUGACUCGUUCCCCUCUCAUUCGGCCCCCAUUCACAGUAGAAGCAUCAAACAAGGUUCUAAACACUGUUGACAUCGAGUGGAAGCCCUAGGAAGUGCAAGAUUACCAAUACCCCACUAUCUGCAAUAGGAGAUGAGUUGAAAAACUACAAACCUCAGAUUUCCCACUUCCUGGUUGGAUUUUUUCUCAGGUUUUUGCCUGCCAUAUGAGUUCUGUUAUACUCACAGACAUCAUUCAAACAGUUUUAGAAACUUCAGAGUGUUUCAGAGUGUCUAUCCAAAUUAACUAAUAAUAUGCAUAUCUUAGCUUCUGGGACUGAGUAGCAGGCAGUUUACUCUGGGCACUUUAUUCAUCCAAUACUGCCUCCAGCCAUAAGAAGUUUUAAGGGCGGUGGGUCACCGUAGGAACGGGACUCAUGUUUGUGCUUGUGAGAGAUUGAGUCUGACUAGUAGAAGUGCUACGUUCUCUUCCUAGCGUGUUGAAACUCAAACAUUGAAAAACCAACCGAGCUUGUGAACAAAACCACGUAGAUCGAAAAGAAAAACAACGUGACACUUCUUCAGUCGACUUUUCUUUUCAAGUAAAUUAGACAAACUUUUAUACCUGUGCCCAGCGCUUCUAAAAAUGAAUAUUUUAACUCAGCUCUUAGGGUGCGCACAGCCCCCAGCCAGGCAGUGUUGCAGCAGGAGGUGGGAUUGGCUAUAGGAGUCGCAGCAGGAGGUGGGAUAGGCUAUAGGAGUCGCAGCAGGAGGUGGGAUAGGCUAUAGGAGUCGCAGCAGGAGGUGGGAUUGGCUAUAGGAGUCGCAGCAGGAGGUGGGAUAGGCUAUAGGAGUCGCAGCAGGAGGUGGGAUUGGCUAUAGGAGUCGCAGCAGGAGGUGGGAUUGGCUAUAGGAGUCGCAGCAGGAGGUGGGAUAGGCUAUAGGAGUCGCAGCAGGAGGUGGGAUUGGCUAUAGGAGUCGCAGCAGGAGGUGGGAUUGGCUAUAGGAGUCGCAGCAGGAGGUGGGAUAGGCUAUAGGAGUCGCAGCAGGAGGUGGGAUAGGCUAUAGGAGUCGCAGCAGGAGGUGGGAUAGGCUAUAGGAGUCGCAGCAGGAGGUGGGAUAGGCUAUAGGAGUCGCAGCAGGAGGUGGGAUUGGCUAUAGGAGUCGCAGCAGGAGGUGGGAUAGGCUAUAGGAGUCGCAGCAGGAGGUGGGAUUGGCUAUAGGAGUCGCAGCAGGAGGUGGGAUUGGCUAUAGGAGUCGCAGCAGGAGGUGGGAUAGGCUAUAGGAGUCGCAGCAGGAGGUGGGAUAGGCUAUAGGAGUCGCAGCAGGAGGUGGGAUUGGCUAUAGGAGUCGCAGCAGGAGGUGGGAUUGGCUAUAGGAGUCGCAGCAGGAGGUGGGAUUGGCUAUAGGAGUCGCAGCAGGAGGUGGGAUUGGCUAUAGGAGUCGCAGCAGGAGGUGGGAUAGGCUAUAGGAGUCGCAGCAGGAGGUGGGAUUGGCUAUAGGAGUCGCAGCAGGAGGUGGGAUAGGCUAUAGGAGUCGCAGCAGGAGGUGGGAUAGGCUAUAGGAGUCGCAGCAGGAGGUGGGAUAGGCUAUAGGAGUCGCAGUUCUAGGACUUUGUGCGAUUCAUUUUCCAGUUUAGAAACAACACCGGCAGAUGGCGGGUGUUAAUUUUAGGCCCUGGCCACCAGAAUGAAGAGACGUUGGAGUCACUUUCCCAGGAUACAGAUUAAACUUCUGUGUUCUCGUGACAGUGCAAGUGGUUUCACACUGUCUAGGGAGCAGAGUCCACGAGACUCAAAGGAGACAGGUGACAGGUGACAGGUGACAGCGUAGUGCAAAUUAAGAUAAAAGGCUCAUUAAAAUCUUAGAUCUUCCAGAGCUCUACAGGGGU